RNAcentral lists this ribosomal RNA (467 nucleotides) under uncultured bacterium. Its description in RNAcentral is "partial 16S ribosomal RNA". It matches the Rfam family "Bacterial small subunit ribosomal RNA", at positions 28 to 507 of the family's 1533-position model. The record is from RNAcentral.
GACGAACGCUGGCGGCGUGCUUAACACAUGCAAGUCGAACGGAAAGGCCCUGCUUUUGUGGGGUGCUCGAGUGGCGAACGGGUGAGUAACACGUGAGUAACCUGCCCUUGACUUUGGGAUAACUUCAGGAAACUGGGGCUAAUACCGGAUAGGAGCUCCUGCUGCAUGGUGGGGGUUGGAAAGUUUCGGCGGUUGGGGAUGGACUCGCGGCUUAUCAGCUUGUUGGUGGGGUAGUGGCUUACCAAGGCUUUGACGGGUAGCCGGCCUGAGAGGGUGACCGGCAACAUGGGGACUGAGAUCCGGCCAGAACCCUUCCGGGAGGAAGAAGUGGGGAAUAUGGAACAAGGGGCGGAGGCUGGAGGAACAACCGCGGGGUGGGGGAGGCCGGCCUUCGGGUUGAAACCGCUUUCCGCUUGUGAGGAAGCGUGGGGGCGGUAAAUGGGAAAAGAGGAACGGCUAACCUCGGU